Molecule: non-coding RNA, 72 nt
Organism: Podarcis lilfordi (Lilford's wall lizard)
Lineage: Eukaryota; Metazoa; Chordata; Lepidosauria; Squamata; Lacertidae
Source: the annotation of a GenBank genome assembly
UAAUAGCCCAGUGGGUAGAACAUGAAACUCUUAAUCUCAGGCUUGUGGGCUCAAGCCCCACGUUGGGCAAAA